Molecule: ribosomal RNA, 510 nt
Filed under: uncultured soil bacterium
Lineage: Bacteria
Description: bacterial SSU rRNA
Rfam family: Bacterial small subunit ribosomal RNA
Source: RNAcentral
AGAACGAACGCUGGCGGCGUGUUUAAGACAUGCAAGUCGAACGGGUUGAAGUUGUAGCAAUACCGCUUCAACCAGUGGCGCACGGGUGCGUAACACGUGAGUUACAUGCCCUGCAGUGGGGAAUAGCCCGCCGAAAGGCGGAUUAAUACCCCCAUGGUCCCGCAAGGGUAAAGGUGGCCGCAAGGCUGCCGCUGCAGGAUUGGCUCGCGGCCUAUCAGCUUGUUGGUGAGGUAACGGCUCACCAAGGCAACGACGGGUACCUGGUCUGAGAGGAUGAUCAGGCACACUGGAACUGAGACACGGUCCAGACACCUACGGGUGGCAGCAGUCGAGAAUAAUUCACAAUGGGGGAAACCCUGAUGGUGCAACGCCGCGUGGAGGAUGAAGGUCUUCGGGAUUGUAAACUCCUGUCAGUCGGGAUAAGACCGUAGACGGUAAUAGCCGGCAGGUUGAUAGUACCCGAAGAGGAAGGACGGACUAACGUCGUGCCAGCACGCCGAGGUAAUCGUA